UUGAAGGGAGGUGAUGGUAUAGUGGUUAUGUGUUGGGCUUGAAACCAGAGGAUCCAUGGUUCAAAUCCCAGCCUGACAGGAAAAUCGCUAAGGGCCAUUGGGCAAGGUCCUUAAUCCCCUAGUUGCUCCCCCGCCGGUUUUCACUGUGUG
Long non-coding RNA from Thalassophryne amazonica, 150 nucleotides. RefSeq lists it as uncharacterized. Lineage: Eukaryota; Metazoa; Chordata; Actinopteri; Batrachoidiformes; Batrachoididae. The record is from RefSeq and is a predicted model, not a curated record. The transcript is spliced from 3 exons.